UUUUAUUUGAGAGUUUGAUCCUGGCUCAGGAUGAACGCUGGCGGCGUGCCUAACACAUGCAAGUUGAGCGAUUUACUUCGGUAAAGAGCGGCGGACGGGUGAGUAACGCGUGGGUAACCUACCCUGUACACACGGAUAACAUACCGAAAGGUAUGCUAAUACGGGAUAAUAUAUUUGAGAGGCAUCUCUUAAAUAUCAAAGGUGAGCCAGUACAGGAUGGACCCGCGUCUGAUUAGCUAGUUGGUAAGGUAACGGCUUACCAAGGCGACGAUCAGUAGCCGACCUGAGAGGGUGAUCGGCCACAUUGGAACUGAGACACGGUCCAAACUCCUACGGGAGGCAGCAGUGGGGAAUAUUGCACAAUGGGCGAAAGCCUGAUGCAGCAACGCCGCGUGAGUGAUGAAGGCCUUCGGGUCGUAAAACUCUGUCCUCAAGGAAGAUAAUGACGGUACUUGAGGAGGAAGCCC
Molecule: ribosomal RNA, 467 nt
Filed under: Clostridioides difficile
Lineage: Bacteria; Bacillati; Bacillota; Clostridia; Peptostreptococcales; Peptostreptococcaceae
Description: bacterial SSU rRNA
Rfam family: Bacterial small subunit ribosomal RNA
Source: RNAcentral